AUGCUUGCUCCUCAUCUCUACCGUCCAACACCACCAGUGUGCACAAACACCCCGCACUGCUGUCGCUGCUGCUGCACGGCUUUGCUGCUCAAGCUCAACCGCAAACAUCAUGCUGAGCACAGCCAGCGCAUCGCCCCGGAGCACCCACGCGAGGCUUCCAGCCAGCACACUAGCACGCAUGCACACAUCAUGCACCCAUCGGCCAUCACCGUAGCAAGGACACAUCACACGCUAGCACAUGCACGGACGCACGCACGCGCAAGCAGCAGCCGUUCGCCAUGGCAUACAUCCUCCAGGCCUCCAGGGCACGACAAGAGGGCCUCGCCUCUGGGUCCAGCUACCGCACGAGGCAUGAGCCCAUGGCGAGGGCCAACGAGUGAGGUGAGCGAGUGCGGCAACGAUGAUGCACACGUACAGUGGUGGAGCUGCGGAAGACGGCGGGGAGCCCUGCGCGUCGCAGCGCCAACAUCGUGCCCUGGAAGAUCUUCCUGGGGAAGAAGGCAUGGAAGAAAGAAGAGCCUUCCGAUUUGA
RNAcentral lists this ribosomal RNA (531 nucleotides) under Triticum aestivum (bread wheat). RNAcentral's name for it is "partial small subunit ribosomal RNA". The record is from RNAcentral. Lineage: Eukaryota; Viridiplantae; Streptophyta; Magnoliopsida; Poales; Poaceae.